UAAGAAUGGACAUUCGAGGCUUCUUUCAAAGAAAAACUCAGGCCACAAUCACGCCAACCUUUAACCAAGGAACUGCAAUAAAAGGUUUAAAAUGCUGAGGUUGUGGCCAGCUGGACGCCCACCUUGAGUCUGAUUCUGCCUGCUGAAGAACCUCCUGUCUUCAGUCCUCAUCCCCAUACAAGCAAGCUGCUUCAUCCGUCAACUGAACCUGGAUUACCUUCCUCAGCUGCUCACACUCCAGUGUUGACACUUACUUGGAUUUCAAACGCUGUUUUCCUUUGGACAAGGAUUUAACAUUGUCUCCUCUCUCUGGUAGAUCUUUUCCUCCCUGACCUGUGGAUCCAUUACAGUUAUUUAACUUUGAUUCAUAGUGACUUCCCUCUGGAUUAGAACAGCUGGGAAGGCCAGUUGAGUGCAUCCUACAUGAAUAGGAUGAGGGACCUAUGGAAUCUUCAAUACCCAGCAUCUGCACUGAUGGCGAAACAGCUAGUAGCUCAGUUUUUCAACAUUCGGAAGAAGGGACUGCUCUCAAAGCUAGGGAUUGACGAGGCACAACACACAUGCUACAGCAAGGGGGAUCCAGGACGACAGGUCAGAGGGGAGAUAUCAUCACCCCCACACACGGAGCAAUACUGGAAGAGCAUAUGUAGGAGAAGGACGCAACCCAAAACGGCAAUGCUCAUUGUCUAGUGGAUCUACGAGACUACAGCAACCUCCUUAAAAGGGUCCAGUAGUCAUCACAGUGGCAGAUAUCCAAGAAAGCAGGACCCUAAGAGCCUUCAUUAGGGUCAUGGGGAUGUGGUGUACAACACAAGAGGCCAACUUUAAGCCAAUAGCAGAAGUCACCAUCAAAUGCGGGAUGUACCAAGGAGAUGCUCUGUCCCCACUGCUGUUCUGCAUAGGCCUGAACCCCCCAGUGAGAUCAUUAACAAGACUGUCUAGAGAUACUGACUACGACAACCAUCAAUCGUCAAUCGACAGCACACAUCCACGAAGACAUCAGGAAGAUGGCCU
Molecule: long non-coding RNA, 1014 nt
Organism: Astatotilapia calliptera (eastern happy)
Lineage: Eukaryota; Metazoa; Chordata; Actinopteri; Cichliformes; Cichlidae
Source: Ensembl